RNAcentral lists this microRNA precursor (205 nucleotides) under Oryza glumipatula. Its description in RNAcentral is "MIR812 microRNA precursor family". It matches the Rfam family "MIR812 microRNA precursor family". The record is from Rfam by way of RNAcentral. Lineage: Eukaryota; Viridiplantae; Streptophyta; Magnoliopsida; Poales; Poaceae.
AAAAAGGCAAACCAUGGGUUCCCGUGCCAACGUUUGACUGUCCGUCUUAUAUGAAAUUUUUUUAUAAUUAAUAUUUUUAUUGUUGUUAGAUGAUAAAACAUGAUUAAUACUUUAUGCGUGACUUAUAUUUUUAAUUUUUUUCAUAAUUUUUUCAAAUAAGACGGACGGUCAAACGUUAGACACGGAAACCAGGGUUUGUCUUUUU